CCUAACACAUGCAAGUCGAACGGUGAACCGGGCUUCGGCCCGGGGAUCAGUGGCGAACGGGUGCGUAACACGUGGGCAACCUGCCCCCGACCCUGGGAUAACCCCGGGAAACCGGAGCUAAUACCGGAUACUCUCCUCCGACCACAUGGUCGGAUGAGGAAAGGUCCGCCGGUCGGGGAUGGGCCCGCGGCCUAUCAGCUCGUUGGUGGGGUAACGGCCUACCAAGGCGACGACGGGUAGCUGGUCUGAGAGGACGACCAGCCACACUGGGACUGAGACACGGCCCAGACUCCUACGGGAGGCAGCAGUGGGGAAUCUUGCGCAAUGGGCGAAAGCCUGACGCAGCGACACCGCGUGGGGGACGAAGGCCUUUCAGGUCGUAAACCCCUUUCGGCAGGGACGAAGCGAUCUCGUGACGGUACCUGCAGAAGAAGCCUCGGCUAACUACGUGCCAGCAGCCGCGGUAACACGUAGGAGGCGAGCGUUGUCCGGAAUCAUUGGGCGUAAAGAGCGCGCAGGCGGCUUGGCAAGUCGGGUGUGAAAUCCCGGGGCUCAACCCCGUGACUGCAUUCGAUACUGUCAGGCUAGAGGUAGGUAGGGGAGAUCGGAAUUCCUGGUGUAGCGGUGAAAUGCGCAGAUAUCAGGAGGAACACCGGUGGCGAAGGCGGAUCUCUGGGCCUUACCUGACGCUCAGGCGCGAAAGC
Molecule: ribosomal RNA, 704 nt
Filed under: uncultured bacterium
Lineage: Bacteria
Description: bacterial SSU rRNA
Rfam family: Bacterial small subunit ribosomal RNA
Source: RNAcentral